AAAAAGCAUAAAUCUUCAGUAGCCAUGGCGAAACGUUUGAUCCCAACACUUAACAGGGUUUUGAUCGAGAAAAUUACAGCUCCUGCUAAAACAAGUGCUGGUAUUCUUCUCCCUGAGAAUUCAUCUAAGCUGAAUUCAGGGAAAGUAGUGGCUGUUGGACCAGGACUUCAUGACAAGACAGGGAACUUGAUACCUACUGCUGUCAAGGAAGGUGACACCGUCUUGUUGCCUGAGUACGGUGGUACUCAAGUCAAGUUGGGGGAGAAAGAAUUUCAUUUGUACCGGGAUGAAGACAUUUUAGGGACACUGCACGACUGAGCACCACCGCGUUUGAGUUUUCAUUGACGUUCAUGUUGUUGAGGUUUUUAUUCAAUGGGAGGUUAAUUUCAAGGAUGUUUUUGGUUUUAGCAUUCGAAUUGUGCUUGAUUGAUAUCUAAUGCAAUGAUAGUUGAAUAACUCCAUUCGAAUUGUGUUUGAUUGAUAUCUAAUGCCAUCAUAGUUGAAUAACUCUUCCUUUAGUGUUGUGCAAUAGUGUAUAUUUUUAAUGGCAAAU
RNAcentral lists this unclassified non-coding RNA (553 nucleotides) under Hevea brasiliensis (rubber tree). The record is from RNAcentral. Lineage: Eukaryota; Viridiplantae; Streptophyta; Magnoliopsida; Malpighiales; Euphorbiaceae.